GGCUUCGGCCGGGCUAGUAAAGUGGCGCACGGGUGCAGUAACGCGUAGGUAACCUGCCCCUGUGUUCGGGAUAACAGUGCGAAAGCGCUGCUAAUACCGGAUACGGCCUUUGAGCGGCGGCUCAAAGGUCAAAGUCGGCCUCUCGAUGAAGCCGGCGCGCGGGGAUGGGCCUGCGUCCUAUCAGCUUGUUGGUAGGGUAACGGCCUACCAAGGCUUCGACGGGUAGCUGGUCUGAGAGGAUGAUCAGCCACACUGGCACUGAAACACGGGCCAGACUCCUACGGGAGGCAGCAGUGAGGAAUUUUGCGCAAUGGCCGCAAGGCUGACGCAGCAACGCCGCGUGGGUGAAGAAGGCCUUCGGGUCGUAAAGCCCUGUCAGGUGGGAAGAAUGUCCGUGGGGUGAAUAACCUUUCGGAGUGACGGUACCACCAGAGGAAGCACCGGCUAACUCCGUGCCAGCAGCCGCGGUAA
RNAcentral lists this ribosomal RNA (471 nucleotides) under uncultured delta proteobacterium. RNAcentral describes it as "bacterial SSU rRNA". It matches the Rfam family "Bacterial small subunit ribosomal RNA", at positions 76 to 523 of the family's 1533-position model. Lineage: Bacteria; Deltaproteobacteria. The record is from RNAcentral.